RNAcentral lists this ribosomal RNA (497 nucleotides) under uncultured bacterium. RNAcentral's name for it is "partial 16S ribosomal RNA". It matches the Rfam family "Bacterial small subunit ribosomal RNA", at positions 28 to 507 of the family's 1533-position model. The record is from RNAcentral.
GACGAACGCUGGCGGCAUGCCUAAUACAUGCAAGUCGAACGCUGAAGCACCCUGCUUGCAGAGUGCGGAUGAGUGGCGAACGGGUGAGUAACACGUGGGGAAUCUGCCUAUAAGUGGGGGAUAACAUUCGGAAACGGAUGCUAAUACCGCAUAUAUUCUUGGACCGCCUGGUCCUUGAAAGAAAGACGGCUUUGCUGUCGCUUAUAGAUGAUCCCGCGGCGUAUUAGUUAGUUGGUGGGGUAAAGGCCUACCAAGACAAUGAUACGUAGCCGACCUGAGAGGGGGAUCGGCCACACUGGGACUGAGACACGGCCCAGACUCCUACGGGAGGCAGCAGUAGGGAAUCUUCCACAAUGGGCGAAAGCCUGAUGGAGCAAUGCCGCGUGAAUGAAGAAGGUCUUCGGAUCGUAAAGUUCUGUUAUUAGAGAAGAACAAGUCAAGGAAUAACUGUCGUGACUUUGACGGUACCUAACCAGAAAGUCACGGCUAACUACGUG